This 1571-nucleotide long non-coding RNA is filed under the name Homo sapiens (human). Its description in RNAcentral is "novel transcript". Lineage: Eukaryota; Metazoa; Chordata; Mammalia; Primates; Hominidae. The record is from RNAcentral.
GGGAAAGAAGAACCCAUCAGCAAUUAUAUCGUCUCCCUCAAGGCAAGUAAAAUCUGAGAGAUGGAGAUAGAAAAUCCAGGAAUGGCUACUGAAUUAAGAAGGAGCAAGAAAGGACAAAACAAGUGUUUUUAGGAAGGUGGCAACACCUCCGGUUGGUCUAAAGGAUCUAUGGGGAAGCAGCUGCAGACCCAGUUCACUGCUCCAGGGUCCUGCCACAGCCAUAAGUCUAGAAAUGACCCAGAUCCUCAAACAGAGUUUUCCUGUGUCCCAGGAAGAGUUGCCCACUGGCCAGUUUCCUCACCUUCAGCUCAUCAGGCAAAGCGGGGAAGAAGGCAGGCUGGAGUGCCUGGAAAGGACAGAGAGGAGGCAUCCAGGUGGAGGGAGAAGAGAUCCUUACAGGUCUCUUAUGUUGGAGAAGACUUUAUAUGAUCACUUGGACCAGUAAUUGCCAAUUCUGGAUGGUCACCAGAGGGUUCUUUAAAAACAGUGGUGCCCUUGAGGAUGCCCCACUUUGGGGACCUUUGCUCUCGUCCCCUAUGCAGCAUCACCUCUCAACCUGGGGCCCGGGGAGGCUUGACCAUGAGAAGUGUCUCUUCCAUCCAGGAACCAAGGUCUGCACUGCAUCUCCAAGCCUGCAGAGAAAUGAUGUGUGACAGCCCGCCUUGACAAAUCAGCACUGCUUACAGCCCUGCCACCAGAAUGCCUUCACUCUGUCCAACUUGAAUUCCCUUUAAAGCAAUGGAAGGAAUCUGCUUUCCAAGAUCCCUUCAGAAGGAAAGAUUUGCAUUGUUUAAAGGAGAAUAAAAAUCAGAUGUCUAAGAAAAAGGAAAAAGACAAAGUCUCCUUUCAAGAAGUAACAACUCUGCCAGCUUACUCAGGUCAUGAAAUAAUGCUGUUGGCAAUGACUUUGGGGUGUUCUGUCACAGUCUCAGUACACUUUCUCCCCCCUGGGCAGUAUUUUAUAGUUACUGCUUCUACGCCCCAUUGGCUCAGACAUAAUUUAUUAUUUGUUUACAUGUUUCACUUACUCUGCUAAGGUGGAAGUCCGGUGAUGCAUUAUUACUGACAGCAUCAGUGUGUGUGUGUGUGUGUCUGUGUGUGUCUAUUUGUGUGUCAUUGAAAGACUCAAGGAGAUCUGACGGGUUCUGAACCUGCAAGUUUUCAGAGCACAAGUGGCCCCCCCAGGUCUACAAGAGCCUCCCUGGGCUCUUGGCUCAGAUCAAAUGUGUCCUAUGUCCCUGUAGUUAGUUCCUUCUACUUCUCUGAGGACCAAGACAAUUCCAGGAAGACACAGGCUCCCCGGGACUGUGACUUUCUAUUCUCUCCUUUGACUUGUCUUCCUGUGUAGUGAUCAAAGUCCUCCCAUUUCUGGGGGGAACGUCACAGUUUACACAGCACUUUCUUCACGACAAUAGCAUGAAGAAAAUAAUACCUGCCCUUUAUCUCCACAUGAGACACAGACAGGUCAAGGACGUGUGCAAGUUCAAAGAGCAAGAGUGGAAUCCAGCCCGAACCAGCACCCCAUGAUGGAAGGGGAAUGACCGUGGCUGGCCCAGUCACUUACAGCUCUU